Molecule: long non-coding RNA, 8285 nt
Organism: Gasterosteus aculeatus aculeatus (three-spined stickleback)
Lineage: Eukaryota; Metazoa; Chordata; Actinopteri; Perciformes; Gasterosteidae
Source: Ensembl
ACUCUGGAACCGCCUCAAGGACCGAGGACGUCCUCAAAGACCUUCUGGGGUCCGUCGGAGGAGGAACUGGACACCACCCAAAGACCUCCGACGCUCCCAAAAUGACUACUGGCAGUUACUCGAUGUGGCCUACCAGUGGAACCUCCUGGAGGACUGUAGAAGACCUUUAGAACUCUGACAAGAACAAAUUGUCUAGUUAAAGAGCAAUACAACCAUCCAAGGACCCCUUAGAAUUUCCUAUUGGACCUCAAGAACCCGAUAGAAUUCAAUUCUUGGACCAUUCAGGUGUCCUAAGAACUUCCAGGAGACCUUCGUUGACUUUGUGAGCCUCCCCCCCCCCUGUUAAAAAACAUGCUGAAUGCGUCGCCGAUGUGGUGACAAAGGGUCUUUUACCUGAGGCCUGAACCUCGGUGAUGUACUGCUGAAGGUCGUGACCCUGCUGGAUGACCUCAUAGAUCAUGUUGUUCAUGGCCAGCCUUCGCUCCAUGUGCCUGCAGAUCAAUAAUCUCCAUCAGUGCCUCGCAGUGGACCCUUUUUUAACGUUCUGUUACUUUACUUGGUUACCUGUGGAUGCGCUGCUGCGCUAGCGUUAGCAUGUCGGCGCUAGCUUCCGCUAGCCGCGCCUGGCCCAGCACUAGCUUGUCCUGGUUAGCGUCAGCGAGCCGCGAUGACGCUAGCCUCUCUGCGGAGAAGUCCUGGGACUGUUUGUGAAGGUCCUGCUUCCAGGCGUCCAUUUCCCCCGUUACCUAGGAAACGGUGACACACGUCAGGUGGGGGGCACCCUGACGUAUUGAUGGUCAAUAAACCUCGUACCUCCAGGGUGCACUGCUGCAGGAUGCGGAGCUGCAGGUAAACGUCCAGUCGGAUCUUCCUCUGGUGGAAGAGUUCUUCCAGCUGAACGUGGGACUCCUCCAGCUGCUGAAGCACUGUCUCCACAUGGACCAACGAGCUGCCCUGAGGCCUGAAACAAACGCACCUCAAAGGGUUAUAGAUAUCCGGCCACUUGGACAGAGGCCAUUUGAUGAAGAAAACAAUCACCCCUCAAAUCAAAAUGCUGAAAGCGAAAUGCUAGAAAUUAAUUUGAAAGAUUUUUUUAGUAGUAAUAUUAGUAGUUAGUAGUAGUAGUAGUUAGUAUUAGUGAUAAUUGUAAUUGUAGUAGGGUUAGUAGAGGGCUCGAGGGGGUGUUGGUCUUCUGUGACGGGGGUUUAGAACAUGGUUGGGGGAUAUGGGGAGCUGCUCAAAGCGAUUUUAGUUAAGUUAGGGAGCAUUCCAACAAUGAGUGGGUGCGUGUGUUUUACCACUAAGCAAUGUAAUCAUUGUUGGAAUGCUCCCUAACUUAACUUGUUUGAGGUGUGGAUUCUGUGUAAAUUUACAAACAAAUAAAACAAGCACACCCACAAAGGAUAUGAAAUUACCAACAAAAGUGAAAAUCAAACCCACCCAAACUACAAGAAAAAGCCGACUCACAAUACGCAAACACCAAAACAAACACACCCUUCAGAUAACUACAAAACAAAAGCUCCAAAAUUGCAAAAUAGAAACGCCCCCCGGACUACAAAACAAACAUACCCAUUUUCUCCACAGUAAAUCAUAAAUCAAACAUACGCAAACUAAAAUAAAAGCACCCAACAGAAAAAUACUACAUAAAUGCUUGCAAAAUACAAAAUAAAACCAUGAACCCACGACUACAAAACCAACAGUGUCCACAGAUUCACCAGCGCCAAACUGACGCAAGCGAAUUAAACGCACCCACACUCUGCGCGUACCUGAGUUGCAGGAUGAGGUCUUCUCCUUCCCUGAUGACACUCAUUGCAGCUUCCUGCGGGUCAGGGUUAGAGUCGGGGUUAGUGUGAGGGUUAGCGCCGUGGGGUCAGAGGCAACAGGGGUGUUAGGGUGUUACGACAGGGUCGAAGGUCAGCGGGCUCACCUGCGUAUUCGCCUGCUGCUGCUGCUGCUGGCUGAUCAAAGCCUGAAGAGCUUCAACGGUGUCGGGACAAACACAGAGGUCAGAGGAGAGCUGCUUCUGGAGGCCCUCCAUCCACACUGAGAGCUGGGGGGGGCAUACCAAGGCUCAAUGAACACAGUCUGUGAAUCCAUGCACUUAUUUUGACAAAUGCCUUUCAGAUGUCAGAGCAGGAGGAGGAAGAGGAGUCAGGAUAGAUGAGGAGGUGGAGGAGGAAACAAAAGCGAGGUAGGAGGUGCCGAGGAGUUGAGGUGGAGGCGGGACAUAGAAGGUGUACUACCUCCUUGGUGUGUGUGUAGAAAGACACAGCGAGGUCCAGCAGCAGCUUCCUCUGUUCAACUCUCUGAAUGAACGCCUGCACACACACACACACACACAAUGAGAACACUUCCUGUAGCUGUCCUUCAGAAUAAAAGCCCCCCUGGUAUUUGUUCACCUGCAUGCGGAGCUCCAGGUCUCUGGCCGCCUGGUAGAUCUCUUCCUCCUUACACUCUCCAGACUGAGCCAGCUGAUCGGCUGCUUCCAGAAGCUUCUCUGCAUUAGUGUAGGUGUUCUGUGACACACACACAUCAGUUCGUGCAGGUCUGGGUAGCGUUCAGGUAGUCCGGUCUAGGUGGGGUUCAGGUAGUCCAGGUCUGGGUAGCGUUCAGGUAGUCCGGUCUAGGUGGGGUUCAGGUAGUCCAGGUCUAGGUAGGGUUCAGGUAGUCCAGGUCUGGGUAGCGUUCAGGUAGUCCAGGUCUAGGUAUCAUUCAGGUAGUCCAGGUCUAGGUGGUGUGUAGGUAGUCCAGGUCUGGGUAGCAUCCAGGUAGUCCGGGUCUAGGUAGGGUUCAGGUAGUCCGGGUCUAGGUAGGGUUCAGGUAGUCCAGGUCUAGGUAGCGUCCGGUAGUACAGGUCUAGGUUGGGUUCAGGUAGUCCAGGUCUAGGUGGUGUUCAGGUAGUCCAGGUCUAGGUGGGGUUCAGGUAGUCCAGGUCUAGGUGGUGUUCAGGUAGUCCAGGUCUAGGUGGGGUUCAGGUAGUCCAGGUCUAGGUGGGGUUCAGGUAGUCCAGGUCUAGGUGGGGUUCAGGUAGUCCAGGUCUAGGUGGGGUUCAGGUAGUCCGGGGCUAGUUAGUCCACGUCUAGUUGGGGUUUACCUGUGCAACCUGCUGGAAGUCGUCAUGGCGUUUCUGCAGCGCUCGUGCCCGGUGAAGAGACUUCCCCACGCCACUGUGUUUGUUCAGGAAAACCUCCCCGUGCUGCUCCACCCAGUCCAACACCUGAGACCGGUGGAGAAAGAGAGAGACAGGUGGGGCAACUGGCCUCUGAAUACAAGGUGUAGAGUCUGGAUAUGGAUCCGUCGUACCUGUCUGACAUCUUGCUGAAAAACACACAGUUGCAGGCGCUGAUGGAGGCGGAGUUUACGGUGCUGCCACACCCCCUCCACCUCUUGGUGACCCUGCAGAUGACAAAAAGCUCACGUGAGUCCACCUGCCUGUCUGCUGGUCACAUGUGAGACACAUCACCACGAGCCGUACCUGCAUGACCUGGUGCAGAGCUCCCAUGAUGCCGUGCGUGGCGUUGGCGAGAUCCGGCCUGGUUGUGGGGUUGUCGGAGUCGGUUGCUGGGCAACGCUGGAGUACGUCCAUUAAGGCCUUACCGCUCUCACUAACCUGCACGCAAAGAAAGAGACAGGUGUUCAGACAGACAUCAGACAUACAGGUAUGCAGACAGACAGGUGUUGAUAGAGACAGGUACCUGUGUGUAGUUAGCAGAGAUCUCCUCGUUCAGCUCCUGAUGUUUCUUCGUCGCGGCCUCCAGCUCUGUUGCCGCCGAGGGCAACGCCCCCUCAGAGCACACCUGGACCCAGCCCUCCAAUCUGAGCAGGAACUGGACAGAGAGGCAGACGGGUGAGUGGGGAUACCCAGGCGGGUCGUGGCAUGACAGACAGGUAUAAAGGUUAGAGGUGAGACAGGUAGACACGGGCAUGAGACAGGUGCCUCGCUGUUGCGUAAUAACCUGCUCGGCCCCCUGGUGGAAGCUAGUUGCCAUGGCGAGCGUGUUGCUGCGCUCUUCCAGCGCCGCCGUCAGCGCCCUCCAGUCGCCCUGCAGGCGCAGCGACACUCCGGCGAUGCGCUCCGCCCCGUGGUGGCCCGCCUCCGCCAGUCUGGUUGCCACGGUGACCACGCUGUCCACGUUCAUGCUGCCGUUCUGGGGGGUCACACGAGUGCUGUUAGGCAGGCGUCACGGCAACGGCGACAAACAAGCAAAUAAACAAGCAACUCACCAUGCAGUUGGCCGUGAAGUGCUGGUGCUGCGUCUGGAGGUCCAGGGCAUGCUGGUGGUUCUGACCCACCGCAGAUAGGGUCUGCAGGAACAGGUCCUGACUGUGAGCGAUCCAGUCCGACAUCUGGGGGAGGGGAGGGAGAACUUUAUCACAAGUACCAGUACUUUAUCACAAGUACUUUUCACAGGUACCAGUAAGUAAGAUAGACGGGUAUGUGGACGGACAGACAGGCAGAUAUACAGAUGGACACACAGACUGCCGGGUUUGUGGGCAGACAGUUUGUGUCCCUAGAGCAGCAGGUUCCUAAAUGACUCCAGGUGACCCCUGACCCUGAAUCCCACCUUGGUGGCGUCCUGCUCAAACAGGUGCAGCUGCAGCACCUGGUCCAGGUGCAGCUUCCUGUCGCUCCAGCUCUGCAGCAGGUGUCCGCGGGCCCCCUGCAGCCUGUCCAGCAGGGACGACACCUUUGGCGCCACGCUGUGGAAGUCGGCUCCACCCGACAGCCAGCUGCCGUUACUAGCGCCGGCGCCUCCUUCGGUGGAGGCGUCGCCGUGGGAGGGGCCUAGGCGCAUGCGCUGAAGCAAGCUCCUCCCCUCUCUCUCGAGGGAGUCAACCGGUGCCGUUGCGAUGGUGUUACGUAGCCGGCUGUGUUCCUCCAGAAGUCUGGAGACGGAAAGUUAUUAUAUUAUUAUUAUUAAUAAUGAAUAAAUACUCUCUUAAGUUACCACACUAACUCACUUGCGGGCCUCGUCCACGUCCUGUGGCUCCGGUAUGCGGUUCAGCCCGGCCUCCAGCUGCUCCAGCUGACUCAGCAGCUGUGUGGCGGCGCCGGUGAACUCCUCCAGGCCCAGACGGAGCUCGGUCCACUCCACGUGGUCGUACUCCAACGAGCCGCCGAGGUCAGAGGUCAGUUGGGAGGGGUCAACGAGCCGGGACAGACCCUCCACCGACACCAGGCUGGUCUGGACAUGGGUUUGUUAGCAUUAGCAGUACUUCAGUUAGCAUCAGUAGUAAUUUAGUUAGCAUUACUUCAGUUAACAUCAAUAGUAAUUUAGUUAGCAUUAGCAGUACUUCAGUUAGCAUCAGUAGUAAUUUAGUUAGCAUUACUUCAGUUAACAUCAAUAGUAAUUUAGUUAGCAUUAGCAGUACUUCAGUUAGCAUCAGUAGUAAUUUAGUUAGCAUUACUUCAGUUAGCAUCAGUAGUAAUUUAGUUAGCAUUACUUCAGUUAGCAUCAGUAGUAAUUUAGUUAGCAUUACUUCAGUUAGCAUCAGUAGUAAUUUAGUUAGCAGUACUUCAGUUAGCAUCCAUACUGCUGCUAAUUUCGUUAGCAGCAGUAUGGAUUCCAGCAACUAGUCUAGUGAACAAUGUGCUAGCGGCAGUACUACAGCGGUUAUUACCACGGUACUACUCAUAGGGAGUAGUACCUCGAAGCUGAGCUUGGCGCUGCCCAGGUUGGUCUUGUGUUUCUGCCAGAAUGUGUCGGGUUUGAUGAGAAGCGCCGUGUGGAUGUUGGAGGAAAAGGACUCCUGCAGCGUGCGUAGAACCGGCUUCACGCUGUCCCACUUGCUGCCGCGCAUGUCCACCACCACCGUGAAGCCACGAGCGCACACGUCCUCACUGAUGGACAAACAGGCAGAUGGGCGCGGGGGGGUUGAGCGAGACAGGCCGAGCGAGAUACAGGUGCAGAGGUCAUGAGGUGGACAGAGAUGGAGGGCGUUACCAGGGUAUGGUUGCCAGGUAGGUGACCAACUGGCUUAGGUCUUCCUGUUUUAUUCGAUCAUGAUUGGUCCUGGCAGGGAAGGUCAGUAUUGGUCCGCCACGUUUGUCCCGCCCACCUGAGAGAACACAGUCAGUCAAACUGGGCCGCAUCGGGACUGAACUGGGUUAAAUGCGCAGGUGUGUUUGUUUUACCCGACACGAAGGCCACUUUCUCUCUGAGCACCGUCAGCACGUCGACCGCUCGGACGCACUCCGCUUUACCACAACCUCGGGGGUAGAAACACACAUCUGUCAGCUUCAUGGACACGCCCACACCGAUCGCUUCUGACAGACGAGGCAGCGAUGUUGUUCCGUAUUAUUAUUGCGGGCGAACUGCCCGAGCGGGUGGGGGGGGGGGGGAUUUACUUGGAUUAAAAAGUUGAGUGAAAAGUAGCCUGUGAGCCUAAAAAGUGUGGGGAUCCCUGCGUUCGACCUUUGCCACCACGGCCUUCCUCCAGCCCCCCCCGGCCUGGCCCACUUGAGAUCAACCUAAAGAUGAGUUUGACUCCCCUGAUUUAGAUCAAGAGUUUAACGGAGCCGACCAGCACGGUGUGUGUGUCCGUGUGUGUGUCCGUGUGUGUGUGCAGACGGGCCUCCCAUGUGAGUCAGCUCGUCCAGCGCGCACUGAGGGCAUCAAGCCGCUCACAGCGCCGGUGACACUCGGAGGAAGGGGGGAGCCUAAAAACACGAAGGAGAUGAAGAAGAACGCUCCCUAGCUCCUAGCCGAGUCCUCUUUCCUUGGGUCCUCCCUUCGGACCGACCAGUCUCCUCGGACCCCAAACUGACUGUUUGAUGUAGACCACCCAAUUAAAAGCACGCUGUUAACACAAAGCUUCACGUAGAGCUGUAGGGGAACAGAACCACCACAAACCUACUGAAUGACAAUAAUAGAGGCGUGUUUUAUUCUACUACAAAGCUUUUACACAGCAUUUAUAACCACAUGUGUAGUAUUUAUCAUUGUACUUUGUCUUUCAAAACAGUACAAGUGCUUUGGUUUCUUCACAAUAAAAGCCCUUCAAUAGUUUAGUCCUUAAAAUAUUUGUAAAUUUCUUAAAUGGGGAUUGAUGUCUCGAAAUGAAAGUCCUUCCUACCUCCUGGCCGUCGACCUCCUGAUAAAACUUAAACGUGACACUGACUGAUCACGGAUCAGCUGUCAAUCAGGACGAUCAGCUGGCAGAUACAGAAAGGAUUUCCAUUGUGAUGAAGCAGUCUGACACACACACACACACACACACUGAUACAGUGAGGAGACUAGAAUAGCUGCAGAUGAAAAGCCUCCAGAGAAGUCGCUGUCAGUCUGUCAGGACUCAUCACACCAAUUACGUAACCAAAACUAAUAAAGAUGUUCAGCCACGAUGUCCUCUCCGAAAUCAGAGCUGGACUUUGGUGCUGUUUUAUAUCGUAAUGUGAAUAAACGUUUCCAAAUGUACAAAUGCGUCCGAUACCAACCUGCUGCUUUACUGUCAGAGCUAACAGAUGAAUAAAAUAAUAUAAAAUCAUGCGUUACUGAUCCACUAACUGAUUUACUACACGUUCCACCAGUAACAUCCCAUCAACGGGGUUGCCACGGUUACCGUACCUUUCAAUUAAACCCCCUCUGAUAUGAUUUUAAUUGAAGCCUGUCGUCCAAUCAGAGGGCAGCAUUUCUUUCACAAUCGCGGUGUAUUAACACCGCUGAUACUUCAAUUGGAGGGAAUGUAAAGCUUCCAUGUGAGUACACAUGACGUCACACACACGGAUAACCAAGCAGGCCUUCCCACAAUCCUCCUUGGUAGGACCCCCAACCACACACAAAUACACACACACAUUCUCUGAGUGAAUGGGCGCGGGUGGAGGCAUCAUGGCGACAGCAGCUCCUACUACACACACACACACACACACACACACACACACACACACACACACACACACACACACACACACCCUACCUGCCGUCGCCAGGCCGUCCGGGCCCGCUUCCCCUCCAUCUACCGAAUUCAUCCUCCCUCCUCCUCCGUUAUGCGGCGUCGCUCCCCGUGCGGACCUGCGGGUUCACAUCAGACCGGAUCGGUGCAGGCUACCGGAUGUGUUCCGCUCCUCCGGUACCGAUGAGACCGUCACUGCCGCCUCCGCCUCCUGCUCCGCUCUUCUUACGUUCCCGUGAUCCCGUGCAGCAUCACGUCCCGUCACCGUGAGCUUCCCGGUGUGUGUCUCUCGCUCUCUCGGACCGGGCAGCGGACGGUCGGUGUAUCGGUGUGUGCGCGCGCGGGCGCGUGUGUGUGUAGCGCGCAGGCGCACCGGAGAGCGAGGGGCGCUGUGCGCG